RNAcentral lists this ribosomal RNA (253 nucleotides) under uncultured bacterium. Its description in RNAcentral is "partial 16S ribosomal RNA". It matches the Rfam family "Bacterial small subunit ribosomal RNA", at positions 524 to 776 of the family's 1533-position model. The record is from RNAcentral.
GACGAAGGGGGCUAGCGUUGUUCGGAAUUACUGGGCGUAAAGCGUGCGCAGGCGGCGCGUUAAGACAGGUGUGAAAGCCCCGAGCUUAACUUGGGAAUUGCGCUUGUGACUGUCGAGCUCGAGUCCGGAAGAGGCGAGUGGAAUUCCUGGUGUAGCGGUGAAAUGCGCAGAUAUCAGGAGGAACACCAAUGGCGAAGGCAGCUCGCUGGGACGUGACUGACGCUGAGACGCGAAAGCGUGGGGAGCAAACAGG